UACGUAGGGUGCGAGCGUUGUCCGGAAUUAUUGGGCGUAAAGAGCGUGUAGGCGGCUAUACAGGUCCGUUGUGAAAACUCGAGGCUCAACCUCGAGACGCCGAUGGAAACCGUAUGGCUAGAGUCCGGAAGAGGAGAGCGGAAUUCCUGGUGUAGCGGUGAAAUGCGCAGAUAUCAGGAGGAACACCGGUGGCGAAGGCGGCUAUCUGGACAGAGUCUGACGCUGAGGCGCGAAAGCUAGGGGAGCAAACAGG
RNAcentral lists this ribosomal RNA (253 nucleotides) under uncultured bacterium. Its description in RNAcentral is "partial 16S ribosomal RNA". It matches the Rfam family "Bacterial small subunit ribosomal RNA", at positions 524 to 776 of the family's 1533-position model. The record is from RNAcentral.